CAAACUUUUUCCCUCUUUUCUUACACGCCCAAACCCAACCCCCAAAAGAAAACCGCUAAUCUUGGAUCGAAAAACGCUUCUUUCAAUUGGAAGAAUGAAGAAAAUUGCUCACCAUCUGCGCCAUCUCCUCCAAUUACCCAUGUUGGAGUAAACUUCUUCACAGUAAAAAUACAGCCCGUCUCCUCCGUUAUCAUCGAUUUCUCGUCUAAGAAUUUCCUUUUCAUCAAGUUUAUAUGCAUUGAGUAUCGCAAUCAGCUCAUAUCAAGAAGUGAAGGUGAAGAAGGCAGAAGUUGCUCAAUAUUCCCAGGAGGCACAAGUUGCUAGAAUUUCUUUGCAGUCGAUGCUCAACAAUCCCAGGAGAUCAAGAAUUUGAAGAAAUGAAGCUAUCUUGAAGAUAGUGUAGAGCGAGUUGAAGGAGAUGAGAAAUGUUAAAGAACAAAUUGAAGUACAAGAGGAACCCACUUUGUUUUGCGAGGAAUUUUUAAAGAUGUUGUUUGUAUAUGCUAUAGUUCUAUUUUUUCUUUUUUUAGGAGUUGAAUAAAAUAAUGUCAGUAAUAUUUAGAUAAGUAUAUUUUUGGUAAUGUGAUAUUCUAAUUCUUUGUAAUCAACAAUGAUGUUUAUAUGAGUACUGACUUUUUGUAUGUGUUUGGA
Nicotiana tabacum (common tobacco) is the source of this 651-nucleotide long non-coding RNA. RefSeq lists it as uncharacterized. NCBI's taxonomy places the organism in Eukaryota, Viridiplantae, Streptophyta, Magnoliopsida, Solanales, Solanaceae. The record is from RefSeq and is a predicted model, not a curated record.